Molecule: ribosomal RNA, 872 nt
Filed under: Flavobacterium sp. CB 286553
Lineage: Bacteria; Pseudomonadati; Bacteroidota; Flavobacteriia; Flavobacteriales; Flavobacteriaceae
Description: bacterial SSU rRNA
Rfam family: Bacterial small subunit ribosomal RNA
Source: RNAcentral
CGGGUGCGUAACGCGUAUGCAAUCUACCUUUUACAGAGGGAUAGCCCAGAGAAAUUUGGAUUAAUACCUCAUAGUAUUACGAAAUGGCAUCAUUUUGUAAUUAAAGUCACAACGGUAAAAGAUGAGCAUGCGUCCCAUUAGCUAGUUGGUAAGGUAACGGCUUACCAAGGCUACGAUGGGUAGGGGUCCUGAGAGGGAGAUCCCCCACACUGGUACUGAGACACGGACCAGACUCCUACGGGAGGCAGCAGUGAGGAAUAUUGGACAAUGGGCGCAAGCCUGAUCCAGCCAUGCCGCGUGCAGGAUGACGGUCCUAUGGAUUGUAAACUGCUUUUAUACGAGAAGAAACACUCCGACGUGUCGGAGCUUGACGGUAUCGUAAGAAUAAGGAUCGGCUAACUCCGUGCCAGCAGCCGCGGUAAUACGGAGGAUCCAAGCGUUAUCCGGAAUCAUUGGGUUUAAAGGGUCCGUAGGCGGUUUAAUAAGUCAGUGGUGAAAGCCCAUCGCUCAACGGUGGAACGGCCAUUGAUACUGUUAAACUUGAAUUAUUAGGAAGUAACUAGAAUAUGUAGUGUAGCGGUGAAAUGCUUAGAGAUUACAUGGAAUACCAAUUGCGAAGGCAGGUUACUACUAAUGGAUUGACGCUGAUGGACGAAAGCGUGGGUAGCGAACAGGAUUAGAUACCCUGGUAGUCCACGCCGUAAACGAUGGAUACUAGCUGUUGGAAGCAAUUUCAGUGGCUAAGCGAAAGUGAUAAGUAUCCCACCUGGGGAGUACGUUCGCAAGAAUGAAACUCAAAGGAAUUGACGGGGGCCCGCACAAGCGGUGGAGCAUGUGGUUUAAUUCGAUGAUACGCGAGGAACCUUACCAAG